GGAAGAGCGAGCCGCCGUCCGGCGGGGCCCUGCCCAGGCAGGGCGCUUGGAGGUGAAGGACGAGGAGCCAGAAGGAGACCUGUGCCGCCCGGCUCCGCGGCACACAUGACAUGCUAAUGGAAGGACACAGAUCCUGUAAAAGAGGAUGAUUUUGUGCAAUAUUGAUAUGCAACAACACUUGCCAAGAGAAGAUUUGUUCAUUGCGAAGUGUAGCCAGUUCCCUUACCUGCCUCUAAAACUUAUUCUCUGAGAUGAAGCGUGAUGAAAGAAAAAGACAGACCACCCAAGACUGAGAAGGAAUUUGUCUGGUGGUCAGAAUACAAGCAAAAAACCUGGACAAGCAUUUCACGUGCAGCCCUGUGUUCAAAAUCCACUAGCAGUGUUCCUGUCAGCACUCCUGUGGACUGGCUGAUACUUUUACAGGGUCACUGCAGAUAGAAACCGAAGUGAUGAGUGGACUGCUGGCAACAAGUGGCACACACGGCCAUGCGUUUGCAGGAAUUUCAAUACAAUAAAUCAGUUUAAAGACUAUGGAGAAACAAGGUACUUGUUAAAUCUUUCCUUAAUGUGCCCCAGACGGCUGAUUCACAGUGCUUUAUUUAGGUGUAUUUAGCAUCUGUUUCGUUUUCGAAAUGCGCACUUAUUUUGAUUUAUCUAAGAGCGGAAUGGGAGAAGGAAAGCCUCGGUUCCG
This is a long non-coding RNA of Aquila chrysaetos chrysaetos, 691 nucleotides long. RefSeq lists it as uncharacterized. The transcript is spliced from 4 exons. The record is from RefSeq and is a predicted model, not a curated record. NCBI's taxonomy places the organism in Eukaryota, Metazoa, Chordata, Aves, Accipitriformes, Accipitridae.